Molecule: long non-coding RNA, 219 nt
Filed under: Lathyrus oleraceus (garden pea)
Lineage: Eukaryota; Viridiplantae; Streptophyta; Magnoliopsida; Fabales; Fabaceae
Description: Pisum sativum (pea) long non-coding RNA (PSAT_LNC004172)
Source: RNAcentral
UGACAUGAUGAUAAAAAAUGCGUCCCUUUUGUUAGGGAAAGAUUCACUUGGGAAUAUCUUCAUGAGAACGACAUGCAGGAUAGAAACUCACUCAGAAAAAUACCACUGACUCGACUGAGGAUUUACCCGGACUCUCACGAUUGAUCCCGGAUCCUGACUUAUACUAUGUAUGCAUGUUUAAUUUUUUAUGACGUAAUACUUCAGCUCGGUGAAAAUGCU